This 894-nucleotide long non-coding RNA is filed under the name Heterocephalus glaber (naked mole-rat). Its description in RNAcentral is "lncRNA (ENSHGLG00100043516.1)". Lineage: Eukaryota; Metazoa; Chordata; Mammalia; Rodentia; Bathyergidae. The record is from RNAcentral.
UGAAUUAAGACCAGAAGGAAGUGAGAAAAUGAAUAAUGCAAACAUUUGGGGAAAGAGCACUCUAGGCAGAGGAGGCAACUGCAAAGGCCACUGUUGUGGGUAUAAUUGUGUUCUCCUGAAAGACACAGAAACAGAGACACAUGGGAGAAUGCCAUGUGAUGACAGAGGAGAGACUGAAAUGGUACAGCCACAAGCUCAGGAAUGCCAAGAAUUGAGAGCCACCACCAGAAGCUAGGAAGAGGUGAGAUGGACUGGCCUGGCUUCUUCUUUGGUUGGAUCUCCACUACUGAUCCAAACAACCAUGGCUGAGGACAGGGUCAUUUUGAAGGAAAACUUGCUUUUUUCCAAAGCUGCAGAUGGAGUUUAUUUUCUAAGAAGAGGAUAUGAAAAUGAGAAGGAUAUAAUGGGUAUCUUUAGCACAAAAAUCUUCACAGCUGUGAUACUGUGGGAGAAAUGUUCAACCUUUAACCCAGGUUAUCACACUUUUUAUUGCUGCAUCGUUUCAACCUCAUGCUUAAGCAAUCCUAAAGGGCAAGAAAAUGAACCCACUAAACAUUUAUGCUUCAAAAUCACCAUAUGAGAUGGAAACUACUCUCCUUGCCUUAGAAAGGAAAGAACUAAGGCUCAGACAAGAUCAUAUGGUUAAUAAAUAGGAAGACGAAGAAUGGAACCAGGUUGUUGGCCUCCAAAUCUGGUGUCUCACUGUUGUACUUCAACUGACUCACAGUUUCUUCAAGCCUUUGUUAUUCUACAAAAAUACAGGUGUGGUAGUGCAUGCCUGUAAUCCCAACACUUGAGAGACUGAGGCAGAAGGAUCACAGUGAGUUCAAGGCCAGCCUGGGCUACAUAGUAAGACCCUGUCCCGGAAAAAAAAAAAAAAAUCUCUCAUGUGGC